Molecule: non-coding RNA, 3012 nt
Organism: Lolium perenne
Lineage: Eukaryota; Viridiplantae; Streptophyta; Magnoliopsida; Poales; Poaceae
Source: RefSeq, a predicted model, not a curated record
CACCCUCAUGGAGCUCUCACAGCGCUUUGGAUUUUGGGCCGUCCGAUCGAGCUGAUGUGGAGCGAUCUCAGCCGGCCGUUCCGUCCAGGGCGUGAGGCCCUCCCGUGAACCCGCAUUUUAUCCAUGGGUCGCUAAAAAGCCCGCUCGGCCCGAUGUCGCGCUCCACCAAUCCCUCGCUUCCGGUAGGAAACCUACCCAAUCCCUGGCCGCCUCGCUCGUUCUCCUCCUCUCUCCUCGCGCCCGCAUCCCCGCCGCCGCACACCUCUCUUCCCUCUCCUUCUCUCCCUGCACCGCCGGUUGAGAGCGGGAGCGACGCCGCCGCAGGUGGAGCACGUCGUGAGCGCCGAGGAGCGUCGUUGCCGGUGGAGCCGCCGCCGGUGGAGCGCGUCGCGAGCGCGCGGAGAGGCGCCCCCGGUGGAGCCGACGCAGUGGAGCGCGUCACAGCGCGGGGGAGCGGCGCCGCUGGUGGAGCAUGGCGUGACCCGCUCGGCCACGACCCACCCGCGCCAGCCGGCUCCUGCUCUGGCUUCUUGGAUGAGCCGCGGCGGGAGCUAUUGUCGAGCAGGACGGAGCCGAAUCGAUGGGGAUGGGAUCUCGGAAGGAGCCGCAGGCACCACCGCAGGCGCGGAUCCUGCUCGGCUGCCGCCGCCUCCUCCACCGCUCACCCCCAGCUGCUGAUCUUCUCCAUGGAUCGAACAAGGAAAGGCUACAGGAAGCAGGGCGAUUUGGCCGGAGGAGAUGGAGCUCGACGUGUGGAAGCUAGCAGGAAAGACGGAGACUGAUGCGGGGACCCAGCCUCCACCUCCGCCCUCCUCCCCCCCGCUGCCGAUAUUGUGCCUCCGCAGCAGCAGCUCGCGGGUGAGACGUAACUCAGCAGUGCUUGGCUUCGGUUUGGCUGGAAAGACGCCGGCCAACAGCAGAACGGCCGGCCCUCCUCCGCCUAUUCAUUUUUUUCAGAGACCUACAGUUUCUGUUUUCUAGAGAUUUCCCCCAUUCGACUAUUGUGGAAACGUUUUGUCCACGCAAGGUAUCCAUCCUCUUUCUUGUAUUCUCUAAAUUGCUACAAUGUUUUCAGAACUUACAGGCCAUAACAUGGUGGAGACUCAUAACAGCAAUGUUUGUUUACAUAUAUUCAAUAAUAGUUCAAAGCUUGGAUGCAGUUUUAUGUAUAUUGUGAUGGGAAGGUGCUUCAGCGGACUAUUAGGUCCGUGUUGUUGUUGAACUCAUCUCGAAAUUGUUGGUCAUUUGAUAGAUGUGCAGGUGUGGUGCAUGUGAUGGUCGGAAAGACCUAUAGCCACAGACAUGCAUAUUUAUGCUUGGUGUAGCUUUCGGCUCACAGGUUAGUGUCUUCUUCAUUUCUUUCUCUAAUAUUGUGUUCAAAGUGGCUUCAUAUAUUUCUUGAGAGUGGUCAUCCUGAAGUUGAUCUACAUUUCCCACAAGAAGUAGCUCUGUUAUAUACAAAUAAAUCUCCUGUGAGUUGAUAGAAAAUCUUUAUAUCUCAUUGAGUUUUGUAAAAGCUCAUAGUGAAAUCUUGAAUUCUGUGUUGUUUAAAUAUAUCAGCUUGAGUUCAUAAAGGUUGAGCCAUAGAUAGAGAAAUUAAUCCAACUAUUGUGAGAGAUGGUUUCCUAAUAGCUUCUAUUUGAUUUACUUAAGGCCUGAACCACAUAUAAAGUUCAGAGAAAAUUUAAAGAUCAGUUGGAAUGACCGAAAAUGUUUAAAGUUCAUUGAUACAUUUAUUUUCUCUUCAUAGUCCAUUAAUAAGCUAACGGCCUUCGCUUUAUCUCGCUCCUGUUGCAGAAAUUAAUCGAGUAUGAAGCAAAUACAAUGAUAUUUUUCUGUACAGACCCCUGAUGUCUUCUUUCAUGUCCCAGACACUCCCAAGGAUAUUCAGGGUUCCUUAUAUAGAAUGUUAUUCAAUCUUAUGCUAAAAGCAUGGUCUUUCAAAGGCUGAGUACCAUCUUGAAUUAUAAGAAGAUAGCAAAGUUCGUGUGAAUUGCUAUUUAAUGCAUCUACAUGGUUCCUGUGAACAUGUCGAUGUCUGGAGCCCAGUCCAAUGAUUUAUGAAAUAGCAAAGAAAUAUGCUGAUAAGCUCAAGGGCACAACAUUAUCUGAGGGUAGUUCAAAGAAGAAACAAUCUGGUGGUUUGCAAUCAAAGACAACAGAUGAACUCCCAGUUUCAAAGCUUUAUAUUUGGGUAGGGCUUAUCAGAAAGGAGAGAAGCAUCUAUAUGUUGAUUCACUUUAUGUACAAGAGAUAGAUGUUGGAGAAGCGGCACCAAGAACAGUGGUUAGCGCACUUAUCAAUUACAUCCCUCUUUAAGAAAUGCAGAACCCGAAAGUGCGUGUGCUCUGCAAAUCUUAAACUAGCGGCAAUGUGCGGUGUAAAAUCGCAUGCUAUGGUUUUGGCUGCGUCCAAUGAGGACCAUACAAAGGUUGAAAUGCCUGGGUCUCCAAAAUCUGCAGUCGUGGGGAGGUGACCUUUGCUGGGCACUCGGGAAGAGCGUCGGAAGAUGAUGAGGAAGCAAUCCUAGACUAAAAACCAUGCUGCACUAGACAGGGGAAGGAUUAUUCCAUGGCCAUCCAUUGGCAGUGGGAGGCAGCGCAAAGCGAGUUGGAGGGAACACCAAAGGAGGCAUGCAAGAGGGCGACCAUCACAGGAGCACAUCAUAGCUCAGACCAUCAUCACAAGAACUGGAGUUCGAAACCCUGAAGCAAACUAGUAUCAAAUUAUCUGCCUAUUACCUUCUUCUGAUGAGGGGUUGUCGAUGAAGUGGGAUUGCUCUAUGUUAAGUCCACUAGCUGAGCGGUGAGGUGGAGUUCAGCCAUUGCUGAAAAUUAGUAAAGAAAUGGGACUAUAAUUUAUCAAGGGUGGUCAUUGCUCUAUUUGGUCUGGGAGCUAUAGGCUUUGUCUUUUCUCCUUUAAUACUUAUUAGUUAUGAUACAUAUUUAUUUUGUUAUUAGUUGUGAUCAAAUCAUGUUAGUAAAAUAAUGUCCAUUGCUUCAUUACAAUUCA